Molecule: ribosomal RNA, 253 nt
Filed under: uncultured bacterium
Lineage: Bacteria
Description: partial 16S ribosomal RNA
Rfam family: Bacterial small subunit ribosomal RNA
Source: RNAcentral
UACGGGGGGGGUAAGCGUUGUUCGGAAUUACUGGGCGUAAAGCGUGCGCAGGCGGUCUCUUAAGACAGGUGUGAAAUCCCCGGGCUUAACCUGGGAACUGCGCUUGUAACUGAGAGGCUUGAGUGCGGCAGAGGGGGGUGGAAUUCCACGUGUAGCAGUGAAAUGCGUAGAGAUGUGGAGGAACACCGAUGGCGAAGGCAGCCCCCUGGGUCGACACUGACGCUCAUGCACGAAAGCGUGGGGAGCAAACAGG